CGGACGGGUGAGUAACACGUGGAUAACCUACCUAUAAGACUGGGAUAACUUCGGGAAACCGGAGCUAAUACUGGAUAAUAUAUUGAACCGCAUGGUUCAAUAGUGAAAGACGGUUUUGCUGUCACUUAUAGAUGGAUCCGCGCCGCAUUAGCUAGUUGGUAAGGUAACGGCUUACCAAGGCAACGAUGCGUAGCCGACCUGAGAGGGUGAUCGGCCACACUGGAACUGAGACACGGUCCAGACUCCUACGGGAGGCAGCAGUC
Molecule: ribosomal RNA, 263 nt
Filed under: uncultured Staphylococcus sp.
Lineage: Bacteria; Bacillati; Bacillota; Bacilli; Caryophanales; Staphylococcaceae
Description: partial 16S ribosomal RNA
Rfam family: Bacterial small subunit ribosomal RNA
Source: RNAcentral